RNAcentral lists this ribosomal RNA (497 nucleotides) under uncultured bacterium. RNAcentral's name for it is "partial 16S ribosomal RNA". It matches the Rfam family "Bacterial small subunit ribosomal RNA", at positions 28 to 507 of the family's 1533-position model. The record is from RNAcentral.
GAUGAACGCUGGCGGCGUGCCUAAUACAUGCAAGUCGAGCGAACAGAUGAGGAGCUUGCUCCUCUGCCGUUAGCGGCGGACGGGUGAGUAACACGUGGAUAACCUACCUAUAAGACUGGGAUAACUUCGGGAAACCGGAGCUAAUACCGGAUAAUAUAUUGAACCGCAUGGUUCAAUAGUGAAAGACGGUUUUGCUGUCACUUAUAGAUGGAUCCGCGCCGCAUUAGCUAGUUGGUAAGGUAACGGCUUACCAAGGCAACGAUGCGUAGCCGACCUGAGAGGGAGAAUGGCCACACUGGCACUGAGACAGGCUCCAGACUCCUGCGGGAGGCAGCAGUAGGGAAUCUUCCGCAAGGCGCGAGAGCCGAACAUAGCAACGCGGCGUGAGUGAUGAAGGUCUUCGGCUCGUAAAGCGAUGCUGUUAGGGAAGAACAAAUGUGUAAGCAGCUAUGAACGACUUGACGGUACCUAAUCAGAAAGCCACGGCUAACUACGUG